GACCUAGCGGCGAACGGGUGAGUAACACGUGAGAAACCUGCCCCGAACUUCGGGAUAACACGGGGAAACCCGUGCUAAUACCGAAUACCCUCUUCUGGUCGCAUGGCCGGAUGCGGAAAGAUUCAUCGGUUCGGGAGGGUCUCGCGGCCUAUCAGCUAGUUGGCGGGGUAACGGCCCACCAAGGCAUCGACGGGUAGCUGGUCUGAGAGGACGAUCAGCCACACUGGGACUGAGACACGGCCCAGACUCCUACGGGAGGCAGCAGUGGGGAAUCUUGCGCAAUGGGCGAAAGCCUGACGCAGCAACGCCGCGUGCGGGAUGAAGGCCUUCGGGUUGUAAACCGCUUUCAGCAGGGAAGAAAUUGACGGUACCUGCAGAAGAAGCCCCGGCCAACUACGUGCCAGCAGCCGCGGUAACACGUAGGGGGCGAGCGUUGUCCGGAUUUAUUGGGCGUAAAGAGCUCGUAGGCGGUUCGGUAAGUCGGGUGUGAAACCUCCAGGCUCAACCUGGAGACGCCACCUGAUACUGCUGUGACUGGAGUCCGGUAGGGGAGUGUGGAACUCCUGGUGUAGCGGUGAAAUGCGCAGAUAUCAGGAAGAACACCAGCGGCGAAGGCGGCACUCUGGGCCGGUACUGACGCUGAGGAGCGAAAGCGUGGGCAGCAAACAGGAUUAGAUACCCUGGUAGUCCACGCCGUAAACGUUGGGCACUAGGUGUGGGUCUCAACCAACGAGAUCCGUGCCGCAGCUAACGCAGUAAGUG
This 762-nucleotide ribosomal RNA is filed under the name uncultured Actinomycetes bacterium. RNAcentral's name for it is "bacterial SSU rRNA". It matches the Rfam family "Bacterial small subunit ribosomal RNA", at positions 89 to 866 of the family's 1533-position model. Lineage: Bacteria; Bacillati; Actinomycetota; Actinomycetes. The record is from RNAcentral.